UACGUAGGGUGCGAGCGUUAAUCGGAAUUACUGGGCGGAAAGCGCACGUAGGCGGAUAUUUAAGUCAGGGGUGAAAUCCCAGAGCUCAACUCUGGAACUGCCUUUGAUACUGGGUAUCUCGAGUAUGGAAGAGGUGAGUGGAAUUCCGAGUGUAGAGGUGAAAUUCGUAGAUAUUCGGAGGAACACCAGUGGCGAAGGCGGCUCACUGGUCCAUUACUGACGCUGAGGUGCGAAAGCGUGGGGAGCAAACAGG
This 253-nucleotide ribosomal RNA is filed under the name uncultured bacterium. RNAcentral describes it as "partial 16S ribosomal RNA". It matches the Rfam family "Bacterial small subunit ribosomal RNA", at positions 524 to 776 of the family's 1533-position model. The record is from RNAcentral.